This 460-nucleotide ribosomal RNA is filed under the name uncultured bacterium. RNAcentral describes it as "SSU rRNA". It matches the Rfam family "Bacterial small subunit ribosomal RNA", at positions 26 to 518 of the family's 1533-position model. The record is from RNAcentral.
AGAGCGAACGCUGGCGGCAGGCCUAAUACAUGCAAGUCGAACGAACCCUUCGGGGUUAGUGGCGGACGGGUGAGUAACACGUGGGAACGUGCCUUUUGGUUCGGAACAACUCAGGGAAACUUGAGCUAAUACCGAAUGUGCCCCCUCCUUUAACCAGGGGGGUGGGAAAGAUUUAUCGCCAUUAGAGCGGCCCGCGUCUGAUUAGCUAGUUGGUGGGGUAAAGGCCCACCAAGGCUACGAUCAGUAGCUGGUCUGAGAGGAUGAUCAGCCACACUGGGACUGAGACACGGCCCAGACUCCUACGGGAGGCAGCAGUAGGGAAUCUUGCGCAAUGGGCGAAAGCCUGACGCAGCCAUGCCGCGUGAAUGAUGAAGGUCUUAGGAUUGUAAAAUUCUUUCAGCGGGACGAUAAUGACGGUACCCGCAGAAGAACGCCCGGCUAACUUCGUGCCAGCAGCCGC